Molecule: ribosomal RNA, 253 nt
Filed under: uncultured prokaryote
Description: partial 16S ribosomal RNA
Rfam family: Bacterial small subunit ribosomal RNA
Source: RNAcentral
GACGAACCGAGCGAACGUUAUUCGGAAUCACUGGGCUUAAAGGGCGCGUAGGCGGGUCCGCCAGUCAAGGGUGAAAGCCCCCGGCUCAACCGGGGAAGUGCCUCUGAUACUGCGGGCCUCGAGGGAGGUAGGGGCGUGCGGAACUUCCGGUGGAGCGGUGAAAUGCGUAGAUAUCGGAAGGAACACCGGUGGCGAAAGCGGCGCGCUGGACCUCUUCUGACGCUGAGGCGCGAAAGCCAGGGGAGCGAACGGG